AUGUGGGUUGUCAGAGUUCUGGGGUGUGUGACAGUGUGCUCGAUCUGCUGCUGGAGAAGAAGGCGGAGGUGGGCGAGACUAAAUAGGAGGGGCGGAAAAAGACGGAUAAGGAGUGACAUGGGCCGGCGACGGCGUGAAGGGCAAGAGACGCGCACACGGGGAAGCAAGCAAAGCUAUCGCCGUAGCGCACGCGUGCGGUUAGACGUGAGGGUGUUCUGGGGAUUUCGCAGGUCUCGGGGCUCCGGAGCCGUUGGGACGGGAGGGAGGAGGGCGAUGGCAACGGUCGGUCGUUUGUGCAAGCUGUGA
This 306-nucleotide ribosomal RNA is filed under the name Triticum aestivum (bread wheat). RNAcentral describes it as "partial small subunit ribosomal RNA". Lineage: Eukaryota; Viridiplantae; Streptophyta; Magnoliopsida; Poales; Poaceae. The record is from RNAcentral.